CAGGACGACGCUGGCGGCGUGCCUAACACAUGCAAGUCGAGCGAUGAAGCCCUUCGGGGUGGAUUAGCGGCGGACGGGUGAGUAACACGUGGGUAACCUGCCUUAUAGAGGGGGAUAGCCUUCCGAAAGGAAGAUUAAUACCGCAUAAUAUGUUUUUAUCGCAUGGUAGAAACAUCAAAGGAGCAAUCCGCUAUAAGAUGGACCCGCGGCGCAUUAGCUAGUUGGUGAGGUAACGGCCCACCAAGGCGACGAUGCGUAGCCGACCUGAGAGGGUGAUCGGCCACAUUGGAACUGAGACACGGUCCAGACUCCUACGGGAGGCAGCAGUGGGGAAUAUUGCGCAAUGGGGGAAACCCUGACGCCAGCAACGCCGCGUGAAUGAAGAAGGCCUUAGGGUUGUAAAGUUCUGUUUUCUGGGACGAUAAUGACGGUACCAGAGGAGGAAGCCACGGCUAACUACGUGCCAGCAGCAGC
Molecule: ribosomal RNA, 474 nt
Filed under: uncultured bacterium
Lineage: Bacteria
Description: bacterial SSU rRNA
Rfam family: Bacterial small subunit ribosomal RNA
Source: RNAcentral